This 1172-nucleotide unclassified non-coding RNA is filed under the name Hevea brasiliensis (rubber tree). Lineage: Eukaryota; Viridiplantae; Streptophyta; Magnoliopsida; Malpighiales; Euphorbiaceae. The record is from RNAcentral.
UUUGCACAACCAUAAAAAAUUUAGAACCGCAAGAAGUCAAAGAUAUCCUUCAGUCAACAUCCACAAUUAAAGGCAAUAUUUAUCUAUUCAAUGAAUGACCAUAAAAUAUUGAAACACUUUUUUUUUUCUUCAGCUGGAUUAAAUAUAGAAAAUGUAGUGCCACGUUUCAUUACAAGGACCUUGAAAAGGUGAGCCGAGUAAUUUUGAUCUUUUGCACUUUUUCUCCUUUAGACUAGAGCCCACCAAUAUUGUCUCCUUCAAACUCUGAACCAGACUUAUCUUUUAUAAAUGAACACAUCCAACAUUCUUUCAUUCCUGCAUCUCCUCUCCCUCUUCAAUCCUCAGAAAACCAAAGAGAAAUAUGACUUUAAAACUGCGUUCAUCAACUUCUUUUAUCAAUCUGAAAGACACCAAAAGCCUCAAAACCCCUGAUGACUUUUCUGGUGCAAUUUGCUUUGCACAAAUCAAGCCAUCAUGCCACCUCAGAACAAAGAAUUCAAUACAAGAAGCACAGCUCUCACAUGAUAAUAUCUUCACGAUGGAAAGAAGGAAAAGUGACAAGUGGGAGAAGCUACAUGCAAUAUCCGGUCGUCACAGUAGCAAUAACUCUAAGGUGCCUGUGUUUGUGAUGCUGCCACUUGACACAAUAACACUAGGGGGAAAUUUAAAUAAGCCACGAGCAAUGAAUGCUAGCUUGAUGGCCUUGAAUAGUGCAAGUGUAGGAGUGAUAGUUGAUGCUUGGUGGGGUUUGGUGGAGAAAGAUGGACCACUUAAGUACAAUUGGGAAGGAUAUGCUGAGCUUGUGCAGAUGGUUCAAAAGUAUGGACUGAAGCUUCAAGUUGUUAUGUCCUUCCAUCAAUGUGGUGGAAAUGUUGGAGAUUCAUGCAGGUAAUUUAUAGGAUCUACCUUUUACCAUUUAACAGUGGGUUUAAAUUGAUGGUCACAGACACGCAACAGUUUUUAAUUUGAAUCAUUAAUUCUCUUUCAAGAUUAAGAAAAUAAUUCUUCACCUAGGAAUAUUUCGCACAGUACUCAAGAGCCAAGCUAUAAAUUUUUUUUCCUACUUCUCUAAUCAUUUGUUUGAUUCCUUAAUUCUGCAAAGGAAAUGAAAAGAAAUUAAAUAAAGUAAAAGAAAAGAAAAAAAAGUCUACUUUUCAUUUGAUUGAUUGGUU